AGAUGGCGACCGGCGCACGGGUGAGUAACACGUAUCCAACCUGCCGAUAACUCGGGGAUAGCCUUUCGAAAGAAAGAUUAAUACCCGAUGGUAUAAUGAAACCGCAUGGUCUUAUUAUUAAAGAAUUUCGGUUAUCGAUGGGGAUGCGUUCCAUUAGGCAGUUGGUGAGGUAACGGCUCACCAAACCUUCGAUGGAUAGGGGUUCUGAGAGGAAGGUCCCCCACAUUGGAACUGAGACACGGUCCAA
RNAcentral lists this ribosomal RNA (247 nucleotides) under uncultured bacterium. RNAcentral's name for it is "partial 16S ribosomal RNA". It matches the Rfam family "Bacterial small subunit ribosomal RNA", at positions 86 to 334 of the family's 1533-position model. The record is from RNAcentral.